This 386-nucleotide ribosomal RNA is filed under the name uncultured prokaryote. Its description in RNAcentral is "bacterial SSU rRNA". It matches the Rfam family "Archaeal small subunit ribosomal RNA", at positions 339 to 725 of the family's 1478-position model. The record is from RNAcentral.
GCGCGAAAACUUUACAAUGCUGGCAACAGCGAUAAGGGAACCUCGAGUGCCAGGUUACAAAUCUGGCUGUCGAGAUGCCUAAAAAGCAUUUCGUAGCAAGGGCCGGGCAAGACCGGUGCCAGCCGCCGCGGUAACACCGGCGGCUCGAGUGGUAACCGUUAUUAUUGAGUCUAAAGGGUCUGUAGCCGGCCGGAUAAGUCUCUUGAGAAAUCUGGCAGCUUAACUGUCAGGCUUUCAGGAGAUACUGUCUGGCUCGAGGCCGGGAGAGGUGAGAGGUACUUCAGGGGUAGGGGUGAAAUCUUGUAAUCCUCGAAGGACCACCAGUGGCGAAGGCGUCUCACCAGAACGGACCUGACGGCAAGGGACGAAAGCUAGGGGCACGAACC